GAUCGGGCGUUCCCCCUUCGGGGGGACAGGGUGACAGGUGGUGCAUGGUUGUCGUCAGCUCGUGUCGUGAGAUGUUGGGUUAAGUCCCGCAACGAGCGCAACCCUCGACCUUAGUUGCCAGCAUUCAGUUGGGCACUCUAAGGUGACUGCCGGCUAAAAGUCGGAGGAAGGUGGGGAUGACGUCAAAUCAUCAUGCCCCUUAUGACCUGGGCUACACACGUGCUACAAUGGGCGGUACAAAGGGUCGCGAACCCGCGAGGGGGAGCCAAUCCCAAAAAGCCGCUCUCAGUUCGGAUUGCAGGCUGCAACUCGCCUGCAUGAAGCCGGAAUCGCUAGUAAUCGCGGAUCAGCAUGCCGCGGUGAAUACGUUCCCGGGCCUU
RNAcentral lists this ribosomal RNA (380 nucleotides) under uncultured Anoxybacillus sp. RNAcentral describes it as "bacterial SSU rRNA". It matches the Rfam family "Bacterial small subunit ribosomal RNA", at positions 1003 to 1382 of the family's 1533-position model. The record is from RNAcentral. Lineage: Bacteria; Bacillati; Bacillota; Bacilli; Caryophanales; Anoxybacillaceae.